AGAGUUUGAUCCUGGCUCAGGAUAAACGCUGGCGGCGUGCCUAAUGCAUGCAAGUCGAACGGGCUUUUCUUUCGCAAGAGGGGGAAGUCAGUGGCGGACGGGUGAGGAACACGUACGGGACCUGCCCCGUGGUGGGGAAUAACCCUUCGAAAGAGGGGCUAAGACCGCAUAAGGUCGCUGGGAUGAGGCCUGGCGAGGAAAGCCGGAGGAAUUCGGUGCCAUGGGAGGGGCGUGCGGCCGAUUAGCUCGUUGGUGGGGUAAGAGCCUACCAAGGCUGUGAUCGGUAGCUGGUCUGAGAGGAUGGACAGCCACACUGGGACUGAGACACGGCCCAGACUCCUACGGGAGGCAGCAGCAGGGAAUCUUGCGCAAUGGGCGAAAGCCUGACGCAGCAACGCCGCGUGGGUGAGGAAGGCCUUCGGGUUGUAAAGCCCUUUUCUGGGGGACGAGGAGGGACGGUACCCCAGGAAGAAGCCACGGCUAACUACGUGCCAGCAGCCGCGGUAAUACGUAGGUGGCAAGCGUUGUCCGGAGUUACUGGGCGUAAAGGGCGCGCAGGCGGUGCGCCAGGUCCAUGGUGAAAGCGCCCGGCUUAACUGGGCGAGGGCCGUGGAGACCGGCGGACUGGAGCGGAGCAGAGGCGAGUGGAAUUCCGAGUGGAGUGGUGAAAUGCGUAGAGAUCCGGAGGAACACCAGUGGCGAAGGCGGCUCGCUGGGCUCUGGCUGACGCUGAGGCGCGAAAGCGUGGGGAGCGAACCGGAUUAGAUACCCGGGUAGUCC
This 780-nucleotide ribosomal RNA is filed under the name uncultured bacterium. RNAcentral describes it as "bacterial SSU rRNA". It matches the Rfam family "Bacterial small subunit ribosomal RNA", at positions 8 to 796 of the family's 1533-position model. The record is from RNAcentral.